RNAcentral lists this small RNA (181 nucleotides) under Arabidopsis thaliana (thale cress). RNAcentral describes it as "ATSL250620". Lineage: Eukaryota; Viridiplantae; Streptophyta; Magnoliopsida; Brassicales; Brassicaceae. The record is from RNAcentral.
AAGUUUUAAAAUCAACAAACAAACCCAAAUCAAUCGUAAUAAUCUAAGGAGAAGGAUCAGACUAAUUGGCUUGACUUCCUCCGAAGAGGAAGUUCUAUUCGCUCAGUAUAAUCAGAUUCGAUCAUCUGGGGAAAUUGUCAUCACCUCCAUUCUCCAUUAUUAACCAAUCCAAAUCUCGAUU